Molecule: long non-coding RNA, 827 nt
Filed under: Anas platyrhynchos platyrhynchos (common mallard)
Lineage: Eukaryota; Metazoa; Chordata; Aves; Anseriformes; Anatidae
Description: lncRNA (ENSAPLG00000023270.1)
Source: RNAcentral
CCCCUUGUAUGCACCUGCACCCCCUGUAUGCACCCGCACUCCUUGCACGCCUGCACCCCCUGCAUGCACCCGCGUCCGUGUGCGCCCCCCCUGCACCCACGUGCACCCCCCUGUGUGUGUGUGCACCCUGCUGCGUGCACCUGCACCCACCUGCACGCGUGUGCACCUGCAUGGGUGUGCUUCCUCACAUGCACCUGCACCCACGUGCACCCCGAUGCGUGCACCUGCACCCCCUGCAUGCAUGCGGCAUCGCCUGGUGUGCACCUGCUUGCACACGCUUGCACACGUUUGCACCCCUUGCACGUGUGCAUCUAUGGCCCUGUGCCUCCUGCACCCGUGUGCGCACCGUGCAUGCACUUGCACACCAUUGCACUUGUGUGUGCAACCCAUGUGCAUGCACCUGCAUCCGUGUGCACACUUUGCAUGCACUCACACCCCUUUGCAUGUGUGUGCAACCCCGUGUGUGCACCCUGUGCAUGCACCUGCACCUCUGUGCAUGCACCAGCCCCCCCUUUGCACCCACGUGUGCAGCCCCCUGCAUGCACCCGUGUGCACCCUGUGCAUGCACCUGCACCGCCUUGCACCCACGUGUGCAGCCCUUGCACCAGCACCCUCACCCGGCUACCCUCGUGCAACCCCUGCACCCACUUGUGCAUCCCCUUGCACGCGCGUUUGCACACCUGCACGUGCUGUUUGCAAGCGUGCCCCCCCCCCCCCCCCGUCUCUCUUUUAUGGGGGGCAUGUCGGGGGGGGGGGGGGCAAAAGGGGGGUGCAGGAGAAGGGAUGCAUGAGUGUGCAAGGCCGUGCACGAGUGUGCAACGCACGAG